UAGACUGCUAAUACCGCAUAAGACCACAGCACCGCAUGGUGCAGGGGUAAAAACUACCGGUGGUACAGGAUGGACCGCGUCUGAUUAGCUGGUUGGUGAGGUAACGGCUCACCAAGGCGACGAUCAGUAGCCGGCUUGAGAGAGUGAACGGCCACAUUGGGACUGAGACACGGCCCAAACUCCUACGGGAGGCAGCAUG
RNAcentral lists this ribosomal RNA (199 nucleotides) under uncultured bacterium. Its description in RNAcentral is "partial 16S ribosomal RNA". It matches the Rfam family "Bacterial small subunit ribosomal RNA", at positions 156 to 353 of the family's 1533-position model. The record is from RNAcentral.